CAGUCAUUGGGAUUAACCCAAUAUUGAUUCCCGGCAUAUCUAGUUUACCUCGGAGUGACGGACUUGCAGGACCAGCCACCGGGACUGAUACUCUUAUGACUCCUGGCAUUCCCCGGAUACCUGAGGAUGAUGGACCUACAGGACCAGCCGUUGUGCCUGAUGCCACUACAGUUUCUGGGACUGAUAGUUUGCCUGAGAG
Long non-coding RNA from Asparagus officinalis (garden asparagus), 199 nucleotides. RefSeq lists it as uncharacterized. The transcript has 3 exons. The record is from RefSeq and is a predicted model, not a curated record. Lineage: Eukaryota; Viridiplantae; Streptophyta; Magnoliopsida; Asparagales; Asparagaceae.